RNAcentral lists this ribosomal RNA (253 nucleotides) under uncultured bacterium. Its description in RNAcentral is "partial 16S ribosomal RNA". It matches the Rfam family "Bacterial small subunit ribosomal RNA", at positions 524 to 776 of the family's 1533-position model. The record is from RNAcentral.
UACGUAGGGUGCGAGCGUUGUCCGGAUUUAUUGGGCGUAAAGAGCUCGUAGGCGGCUUGUCGCGUCGUCCGUGAAAACCCACGGCUUAACUGUGGGCUUGCGGUCGAUACGGGCAGGCUGGAGUUCGGUAGGGGAGACUGGAAUUCCUGGUGUAGCGGUGAAAUGCGCAGAUAUCUGGAGGAAUACCGGUGGCGAAGGCGGCAUCCUGGACCAUAACUGACGCUGAGGCGCGAAAGCUAGGGGAGCAAACGGG